This 484-nucleotide ribosomal RNA is filed under the name uncultured bacterium. RNAcentral describes it as "partial 16S ribosomal RNA". It matches the Rfam family "Bacterial small subunit ribosomal RNA", at positions 30 to 507 of the family's 1533-position model. The record is from RNAcentral.
AUUGAACGCUGGCGGCAGGCCUAACACAUGCAAGUCGAGCGGAUGAAGGGAGCUUGCUCCUGGAUUCAGCGGCGGACGGGUGAGUAAUGCCUAGGAAUCUGCCUGGUCGUGGGGGAUAACGUCCGGAAACGGGCGCUAAUACCGCAUACGUCCUGAGGGAGCAAGUGGGGGAUCUUCGGACCUCACGCUAUCAGAUGAGCCUAGGUCGGAUUAGCUAGUUGGUGGGGUAAAGGCCUACCAAGGCGACGAUCCGUAACUGGUCUGAGAGGAUGAUCAGUCACACUGGAAGUGAGACACGGUACAGACACCUACAGGAGGAAGCAGUGGGGAAUAUUGGACGAUGGGGGAGAGGCUGAUUUAGCAAUGCCGCGUGAGUGAAGAAGGUGUUCGGAUUGUAAAGCGCUGUAAGUUGGGAGGAAGGGAAGUAAGUUAAUACCUUGCUGUUUUGACGGUACCAACAGAAUAAGCACCGGCUAACUUCGUG